RNAcentral lists this long non-coding RNA (1307 nucleotides) under Malus domestica (apple). RNAcentral's name for it is "long non-coding RNA (MDOM_LNC006370)". Lineage: Eukaryota; Viridiplantae; Streptophyta; Magnoliopsida; Rosales; Rosaceae. The record is from RNAcentral.
UUGCUUUGAGAUGGAUGAAAAUUAUGUAUGGGGACGCUACUGUAUUUAUGGAUUAGCAAGAGACACUGAUGAUGAACUGGUCUUGGAUAUUCCCUCUCGAUAAUCGAAGCAGUUAAAGAUUCGGAUUAAUUCUAGAACCACGUAAAGACUUGGUUGUAAUUACGAAUUGAUUGAACUGGAUAAUAAUUUAACAUUAACUGAACUGGUCUUGGAUUAACAUUUAUUAUUAAUGGUAAAACUAAAACAUGCAUAUAUAGGUGUUUUCAGUAACUAAUCAAAUCGAUCUCAAUUAAGAUAGCCGGAAUUAAAACUAUAAAUUAUGAAUACUUUGACACUUGAAAUCAGAAGUUACUUAAUGUUUGAAUUUCCCAGCACGUAAAUAAUUUGAUUGAGUCCUAUUAUUUGGUGUUUCAAUAUACAAUAUACAGUUUUGCUUGAAAAAGAACAAGUGAAGAAUAUCCGGUUAAAGAUAACUUUAAUCCCACGAUUGUUGAGGGCAACUGACAAAUGCAACAAAGAAAAACUACAAAUUAUGAAUAAGUUGACACUUGAAAUCAAAAGCUACUUAUGUUUGAAUUUUCCAACACAUAAAUAAUUUGACUGAGUCCCAUUAUUUGGUGUUUCAAUAUACAAUAUACAGUUUUGCUUGAAAAAGAACAAGUGAAGAAUAUCCGGUUAAAGAUAACUUUAAUCCCACGAUUGUUGAGGGCAACUGACAAAUGCAACAAAGAAAAACUACAAAUUAUGAAUAAGUUGACACUUGAAAUCAAAAGCUACUUAUGUUUGAAUUUUCCAACACAUAAAUAAUUUGACUGAGUCCCAUUAUUUGGUGUUUCAAUAUACAAUAUACAAUUUUGCUUGAAAAAGAACAAGUGAAGAAUAUCCUGUUAAAGAUAAUUUUAAUCCCACGAUUGUUGAAGGCAACUGACAAAUGCAACAAAGAAAAACUACAAUCUGAGAUGAAAAACUAGAAUUUUAAACUUUUGGAUCAUACAAGUAUCCGAUUCAAUCGAGGGUUUUUCUCUUUCUUUUUUUUAACUUUUGGGUUUUUUUCUGUGCUUUUUCUGCUCAACGAUGCCAUUGGCGUCGGCUUUUAUGGAGAUUCUGAGAUGACCCACGAUAGUUGAGGUGCUGGGGGAGUUGAUGAUGUUGAUAACCCCUCUAUCGAUUGUUGUGAUUGUUAUUGGGGGUUUGGUUGGAUGGGAGUGGAAGCCCAAAUGGGAGAGCAUUGGUUGGCCGAGAGAACUGAAGAGAUUUUUUGUUCCUGGUUUUUGAGAGAGAGCUGGAGAGAUUGAGAGAUCUGUAUU